ACAAGUUAUGUUCACAGAAAGCUUACCACUGAAGCAUACUUAUUUGGCAAAGGAGUUUAGUUAGUUCUUGUAGCAGUAACUGAAUUAGCAUCGUAUACUGCAUACUGUUUUGCAAUGUGCGCUUGUAUACAAGAUACACGUGAGAUAUUAAUUACCAUUUUAUAAUAGUGAAUAAUUUUUUUCAGUUUUCCGUGGGAAUUGCAGAGGUGAAGAGAACCGGAAGCGCUGCUUAACUGACUGGUCACUUUGAUUUAAUCUUCUCUUCCGAGAGACCUAGAGGCAAAGUACUCGCCCUGCGUGAAGAGGUCCUGGGUGGUCUUGAGUGCUCCCUCCCCCCUUGUGAACUGGUACAUGGAGAAGGCCAUGGAGGACAUGUUUUUGGCACGCUUCACUAUGUCAUUAUCCUCAUCUUGGGUGAUCCGCUCCUCCCACUUCUCCGUCUCCUGGUCCACCUGCAAGAUGUUUCUCAGGAAGCGGUCAGCGUACUCGUCCAGCCGCUCCUGGUCAGUGGCAAGGCCUGCGUUCUUGAGGGCACUGAUCAGCUCACUCUCCUCACAUGCACCACGCACCAACUCCUCAGCCUGGGGGAAGGAAUGCCAAUGUGAGAAUUUUAAGAAAGCUGCAAGAAGGGUCAUAAUUAUGAACUUUAGGUUAGAAUUAUGGGCUGUUCAGGUGAUCUUUUGAGGACUGGGGGCAUUGCAGAAACACUCGAUACUUGUAGGAGGUUCUUCUUGUGGCAAAGGUAGAAAAUACAAAGGGGACAUGUAGGGACACAUUACAGUUUUCCAGUACUGAAUAAUACAUGAAUCAAGGUUUGUCUAUUACAAUGAAGUGACAUGACAGGUAGGAAUAAGAGGGAUUAAUAGAUAUAGGAGCAGAGAUCAUAAAACUCUUGUGAGAAAGAGAGAAAGAAGAGGAAACUUGAGAGGAAUGGAUGGUUUAAGAAAAGAAGGCAA
Molecule: long non-coding RNA, 956 nt
Organism: Scylla paramamosain (green mud crab)
Lineage: Eukaryota; Metazoa; Arthropoda; Malacostraca; Decapoda; Portunidae
Exons: 3
Source: RefSeq, a predicted model, not a curated record